RNAcentral lists this ribosomal RNA (551 nucleotides) under Pseudomonas sp. EECC-128. RNAcentral's name for it is "bacterial SSU rRNA". It matches the Rfam family "Bacterial small subunit ribosomal RNA", at positions 87 to 634 of the family's 1533-position model. Lineage: Bacteria; Pseudomonadati; Pseudomonadota; Gammaproteobacteria; Pseudomonadales; Pseudomonadaceae. The record is from RNAcentral.
UGGAUUCAGCGGCGGACGGGUGAGUAAUGCCUAGGAAUCUGCCUGGUAGUGGGGGACAACGUUUCGAAAGGAACGCUAAUACCGCAUACGUCCUACGGGAGAAAGCAGGGGACCUUCGGGCCUUGCGCUAUCAGAUGAGCCUAGGUCGGAUUAGCUAGUUGGUGAGGUAAUGGCUCACCAAGGCGACGAUCCGUAACUGGUCUGAGAGGAUGAUCAGUCACACUGGAACUGAGACACGGUCCAGACUCCUACGGGAGGCAGCAGUGGGGAAUAUUGGACAAUGGGCGAAAGCCUGAUCCAGCCAUGCCGCGUGUGUGAAGAAGGUCUUCGGAUUGUAAAGCACUUUAAGUUGGGAGGAAGGGUUGUAGAUUAAUACUCUGCAAUUUUGACGUUACCGACAGAAUAAGCACCGGCUAACUCUGUGCCAGCAGCCGCGGUAAUACAGAGGGUGCAAGCGUUAAUCGGAAUUACUGGGCGUAAAGCGCGCGUAGGUGGUUUGUUAAGUUGGAUGUGAAAUCCCCGGGCUCAACCUGGGAACUGCAUCCAAAACU